UCCCGCUCAAAAUGUGAUCCCCUGCCCUAAUUUCUAAACUGCCUCUCCAAUAAUCUAAGCAGACUUUCUUUCUAUGCAUUUCGAGUGCUUCGAAAGAUAACUCUCUCUCUCUCUCUCUCUCUCUCUCUCUCUUUAACGUUGGUUGACGAUGUUCUACAACGAACAAUAGCGGGUGGGUUUCAGACGACUCAGCGGUGAUUGACGGUAUGGUAUGUUCUUCCUAUUGAAGUCUUAAAUGUUUGUUUUGCGUCAUUGUGUUUCAGUUCGAUUUUGUGAAAGAAUAUGACAGUUCCGUCAUCUCAACCGGCUAAAUCCGGCGCUGGAAAGCAGAAAAAGGUCAUAAAUCGAUCAAUCAAUGGCCCUAUAAUGGUUUGGGCCCUGAUCGCAGGCCCAUCCUGCACAUGUGGAUAGCCAGCCCUGUGUAGAUGUAUGUGCAUCUUUGUAUUGGUAAUUGUGUGGAAAUUUUAUUACAUUUCUGCAAUUGUGUAGAACUCCAGCCAUGAGGCAUUCCAGCUCGCAUUUUGCAUUUUCUUUGCUGAAUGUUUUUCUCAAACUGAAAAUGGUUAUGGUUUUAAUAAGGAUAAUAGGGUCACCCUUAAUUUUCUUUCAAAAAUUAAGCUUACACAAGACCAGCUAAGAGAAUCGUUGGCUGCUGGAAUCAGGAAACAUUUGGAAACCGCCUUAUGGGUACAUGUCAUAUAGCGCUACCCCUGCCUCAUCCUUCUUAAUUCUCCAUUGCGCCAUGUCUGACUCCUCACGAAAAGCUACAUCAGUUUUACCUUUCUGUUUCUACUUCUCUUUAUAAAUCGGAAAUUUUAUCAUUCUUGUUUUUAGUUUUGCAUGAUUACACUUUCAAGCUGUCCAGCAGGGAUGGAGACAGAGACCAGGACCAGAGUUCGAGAGAUAGAGAAAGGGAGAGGAAAGGGAGAGGAAAGGCAGAGAUAACGAUAGAGAGAGAUCAAAAUCAAGGUUGGGCUUUCUCAGAUUGCACAACUGAAGCUUUAAAGGGCAAUGGUUGUGUAUGCUACACGAAGUGGUGCCAGCAUAAGGGUUAAACUCAACUUGGUCAACGCUAGGGUGAGCACUUAAUUCCAUAUUUAAAUUGUUGCUGGAAUGAUAUCUAAACAUAAGAACCCUUUACUUUAAAUUUAAACCGUAUCGAUUUCACACUUCUUUAUAUUUUUAAUUGUGUAUUGUCCAUGUCACCAUGUGGCUACUAUGUGAUGAAGUUCAUGGAGAUAGCUUAUAAAGGUUGUUGAAAUACUUGACAAUGACAAUGUAAGUUUAGGCAAAUUUUAGCUUGCCUAUUAGAGAAAUAUGUACUUUCAUGUUCAAACAAAUGCUUAAAUUCAUAGAUUUAGAUUUAGUCUUGAAAUUAAUAUUUAAAUUUCUAGAUUAAGAUUUAAAAUACUGAUUUUAAGAUUUGUUUUUUUCACAUGGCUAC
RNA transcript from Helianthus annuus (common sunflower), 1444 nucleotides. RefSeq lists it as uncharacterized. Lineage: Eukaryota; Viridiplantae; Streptophyta; Magnoliopsida; Asterales; Asteraceae. The transcript has 3 exons. The record is from RefSeq and is a predicted model, not a curated record.